UCCGAGUUGACCCCGGCAGUCUCCUAUGAGUCCCCGGCAUUAUCCGCUGGCAACAUAGGAUGAGGGUUGCGCUCGUUGCGGGACUUAACCCAACAUCUCACGACACGAGCUGACGACAGCCAUGCACCACCUGUGCACUGGCCCCGAAGGGCUGCCGUAUUUCUACGACAUUCCAGUGCAUGUCAAGCCUUGGUAAGGUUCUCCGCGUUGCGUCGAAUUAAACAACAUGCUCCGCUGCUUGUGCGGGUCCCCGUCAAUUCCUUUGAGUUUUAGCCUUGCGACCGUACUCCCCAGGCGGAUAACUUAAUGCGUUAGCUGCGCCACCCAAGCUCUAUGAGCCCGGACAGCUAGUUAUCAUCGUUUACGGCGUGGACUAC
This 377-nucleotide unclassified non-coding RNA is filed under the name uncultured Actinomycetes bacterium. RNAcentral's name for it is "uncultured actinobacterium contains 16S-23S intergenic spacer region". The record is from RNAcentral. Lineage: Bacteria; Bacillati; Actinomycetota; Actinomycetes.